RNAcentral lists this ribosomal RNA (645 nucleotides) under Trichoderma lixii. RNAcentral describes it as "eukaryotic LSU rRNA". The stretch from base 257 to 410 matches the Rfam family "5.8S ribosomal RNA". Lineage: Eukaryota; Fungi; Ascomycota; Sordariomycetes; Hypocreales; Hypocreaceae. The record is from RNAcentral.
UGGAAGUAAAAGUCGUAACAAGGUCUCCGUUGGUGAACCAGCGGAGGGAUCAUUACCGAGUUUACAACUCCCAAACCCAAUGUGAACGUUACCAAACUGUUGCCUCGGCGGGAUCUCUGCCCCGGGUGCGUCGCAGCCCCGGACCAAGGCGCCCGCCGGAGGACCAACCAAAACUCUUAUUGUAUACCCCCUCGCGGGUUUUUUUAUAAUCUGAGCCUUCUCGGCGCCUCUCGUAGGCGUUUCGAAAAUGAAUCAAAACUUUCAACAACGGAUCUCUUGGUUCUGGCAUCGAUGAAGAACGCAGCGAAAUGCGAUAAGUAAUGUGAAUUGCAGAAUUCAGUGAAUCAUCGAAUCUUUGAACGCACAUUGCGCCCGCCAGUAUUCUGGCGGGCAUGCCUGUCCGAGCGUCAUUUCAACCCUCGAACCCCUCCGGGGGGUCGGCGUUGGGGAUCGGCCCUCCCUUAGCGGGGUGGCCGUCUCCGAAAUACAGUGGCGGUCUCGCCGCAGCCUCUCCUGCGCAGUAGUUUGCACACUCGCAUCGGGAGCGCGGCGCGUCCACAGCCGUUAAACACCCAACUUCUGAAAUGUUGACCUCGGAUCAGGUAGGAAUACCCGCUGAACUUAAGCAUAUCAAUAAGCGGAGGA